RNAcentral lists this ribosomal RNA (440 nucleotides) under uncultured bacterium. Its description in RNAcentral is "partial 16S ribosomal RNA". It matches the Rfam family "Bacterial small subunit ribosomal RNA", at positions 338 to 795 of the family's 1533-position model. The record is from RNAcentral.
CCUACGGGUGGCAGCAGUAGGGAAUAUUGCUCAAUGGGGGAAACCCUGAAGCAGCAACGCCGCGUGGAGGAUGAAGGUUUUCGGAUUGUAAACUCCUUUUGUUAGAGAAGAUAAUGACGGUAUCUAACGAAUAAGCACCGGCUAACUCCGUGCCAGCAGCCGCGGUAAUACGGAGGGUGCAAGCGUUACUCGGAAUCACUGGGCGUAAAGGGCGCGUAGGCGGGAUAGCAAGUCAGAUGUGAAAUCCUAUGGGCUAACCCUAGAACUGGAUUUGAAACUGUUAUUCUAGAGUAGGGGAGAGGUAGGUGGAAUGCUUGGUGUAGGGGUAAAAUCCGUAGAGAUCGAGCGGAAUACUCAUUGCGAAGGCGGCCUGCUAGAUCAUAACUGACGCUGAUGCGCGAAAGCGUGGGGAGCGAACAGGAUUAGAUACCCCGGUAGUC